UACGUAGGGUGCGAGCGUUAAUCGGAAUUACUGGGCGUAAAGCGUGCGCAGGCGGUUCGCCAAGUCAGGUGUGAAAUCCCCGGGCUUAACCUGGGAAUUGCGCUUGAAACUAGCGGGCUUGAGUGUGGCAGAGGGGGGUGGAAUUCCACGUGUAGCAGUGAGAUGCGUAGAGAUGUGGAGGAACACCGAUGGCGAAGGCAGCCCCCUGGGUCAACACUGACGCUCAUGCACGAAAGCGUGGGGAGCAAACAGG
This 253-nucleotide ribosomal RNA is filed under the name uncultured bacterium. Its description in RNAcentral is "partial 16S ribosomal RNA". It matches the Rfam family "Bacterial small subunit ribosomal RNA", at positions 524 to 776 of the family's 1533-position model. The record is from RNAcentral.